GACGAACGCUGGCGGCGUGCUUAACACAUGCAAGUCGAACGGAAAGGCCCUGCUUUUGUGGGGUGCUCGAGUGGCGAACGGGUGAGUAACACGUGAGUAACCUGCCCUUGACUUUGGGAUAACUUCAGGAAACUGGGGCUAAUACCGGAUAGGACCUCCUGCUGCAUGGUGGGGGUUGGAAAGUUUCGGCGGUUGGGGAUGGACUCGCGGCUUAUCAGCUUGUUGGUGGGGUAGUGGCUUACCAAGGCUUUGACGGGUAGCCGGCCUGAGAGGGUGACCGGCCACAUUGGGACUGAGAUACGGCCCAGACUCCUACGGGAGGCAGCAGUGGGGAAUAUUGCACAAUGGGCGGAAGCCUGAUGCAGCAACGCCGCGUGCGGGAUGACGGCCUUCGGGUUGUAAACCGCUUUCGCCUGUGACGAAGCGUGAGUGACGGUAAUGGGUAAAGAAGCACCGGCUAACUACGUGCCAGCAGCCGCGGUGAUACGUAGGGUGCGAGCGUUGUCCGGAUUUAUUGGGCGUAAAGGGCUCGUAGGUGGUUGAUCGCGUCGGAAGUGUAAUCUUGGGGCUUAACCCUGAGCGUGCUUUCGAUACGGGUUGACUUGAGGAAGGUAGGGGAGAAUGGAAUUCCUGGUGGAGCGGUGGAAUGCGCAGAUAUCAGGAGGAACACCAGUGGCGAAGGCGGUUCUCUGGGCCUUUCCUGACGCUGAGGAGCGAAAGCGUGGGGAGCGAACAGGCUUAGAUACCCUGGUAGUCCACGCUGUAAACGGUGGGUACUAGGUGUGGGGUCCAUUCCACGGGUUCCGUGCCGUAGCUAACGCUUUAAGUACCCCGCCUGGGGAGUACGGCCGCAAGGCUAAAACUCAAAGGAAUUGACGGGGCCCCGCACAAGCGGCGGAGCAUGCGGAUUAAUUCGAUGCAACGCGUAGAACCUUACCUGGGUUUGACAUGGAUCGGGAGCGCUCAGAGAUGGGUGUGCCUCUUUUGGGGUCGGUUCACAGGUGGUGCAUGGCUGUCGUCAGCUCGUGUCGUGAGAUGUUGGGUUAAGUCCCGCAACGAGCGCAACCCUUGUUCACUGUUGCCAGCACGUUAUGGUGGGGACUCAGUGGAGACCGCCGGGGUCAACUCGGAGGAAGGUGGGGAUGACGUCAAGUCAUCAUGCCCCUUAUGUCCAGGGCUUCACGCAUGCUACAAUGGCUGGUACAGAGAGUGGCGAGCCUGUGAGGGUGAGCGAAUCUCGGAAAGCCGGUCUCAGUUCGGAUUGGGGUCUGCAACUCGACCUCAUGAAGUCGGAGUCGCUAGUAAUCGCAGAUCAGCAACGCUGCGGUGAAUACGUUCCCGGGGCU
Molecule: ribosomal RNA, 1346 nt
Filed under: uncultured bacterium
Lineage: Bacteria
Description: bacterial SSU rRNA
Rfam family: Bacterial small subunit ribosomal RNA
Source: RNAcentral